AGAGUUUGAUCCUGGCUCAGGAUGAACGCUGGCGGUGUGCUUAACACAUGCAAGUCGAGCGAAACACUUUAAAUUAUUCUUCGAAGUAAUUUAAGGUCGUUUAGCGGCAGACGGCUGAGUAAUACAUUGGUACCUACCCUAAAGUGGGGGAUAGCCCAUCGAAAGAUGGGGUAAUCCCGCAUGUGCUCUUCGGAGUAAAGCUUCGGCGCUUUAGGAAGGGCCUUUGUCCUAUCAGUUUGUUGGUGAGGUAAGAGCUCACCAAGACUAUGACGGGUAGCUGGAUCGAGAGGUCGACCAGCCAGACUGGGACUGAGACACGGCCCAGACUCCUACGGGAGGCAGCAGUGAGGAAUUUUCCGCAAUGGGCGCAAGCCUGACGGAGCGACACCGCGUGAAGGAUGACGGUUCUAGGACUGUAAACUUCUUUUAUAUGUGAAGAUUAUGACGGUAACAUAUGAAUAAGCACCGGCUAACUACGUGCCAGCAGCCGCGGUAAUACGUAGGGUGCGAGCGUUAUUCGGAAUUACUGGGCGUAAAGCGUGCGUAGGCGGUUAUGUAAGUUAGAUGUUAAAUCUGCAGGCUCAACUUGUAGGCUGCAUCUAAUACUGCAUAACUCGAGAAUGGAAGAGGCAGAUGGAAUUUCUGGUGGAGCGGUAAAAUGCGUAGAUAUCAGAAGGAACACCAAUGGCGAAGGCAAUCUGCUGGGCCAUUUCUGACGCUAAGGCACGAAAGCGUGGGGAGCGAUCGGGAUUAGAUACCCCGGUAGUCCACGCCGUAAACGAUGGAUACUAGCUUUAUGGAGUAUCGACCCUUUGUGAAGCGAAGCUAACGCGUUAAGUAUCCCGCCUGGGGAGUACGGCCGCAAGGCUAAAACUCAAAGGAAUUGACGGGGACCCGCACAAGCGGUGGAACAUGUGGUUUAAUUCGACGAUAAGCGAAAAACCUCACCAAGGUUUGACAUACCAAUCGUAUCUCUAAGAAACUAGAGAGUCAGUUAGGCUGGAUUGGAUACAGGUGUUGCAUGGCUGUCGUCAGCUCGUGUCGUGAGAUGUCGGGUUAAGUCCUUUAACGAGCGCAACCCUCAUUGCAUGUUAUUUUUUCAUGCGAGACUGCCCUGGUUAACAGGGAGGAAGGUGGGGAUGACGUCAAGUCAGCAUGGCCCUUACACCUUGGGCUACACACGUGUUACAAUGGCCGGUACAGUAGGUUGCAAUAUCGUAAGAUGGAGCUAAUCCUUUAAAACCGGUCUCAGUUCGGAUAGAGGGCUGAAACUCGCCCUCUUGAAGUUGGAAUCGCUAGUAACCGUAAAUCAGCACGUUACGGUGAAUACGUUCCCGGGUCUUGUACACACCGCCCGUCACACCACGAAAGGCAGAGACGCCCGAUACCCUCGUAGAGGUUUAAGGUGGAGCUGCUGAUUGGGGUGAAGUCGUAACAAGGUAUCCGUACUAGUACGAAU
RNAcentral lists this ribosomal RNA (1459 nucleotides) under metagenome. Its description in RNAcentral is "bacterial SSU rRNA". It matches the Rfam family "Bacterial small subunit ribosomal RNA". The record is from RNAcentral.